Molecule: unclassified non-coding RNA, 249 nt
Filed under: Hevea brasiliensis (rubber tree)
Lineage: Eukaryota; Viridiplantae; Streptophyta; Magnoliopsida; Malpighiales; Euphorbiaceae
Source: RNAcentral
GGGAAAGUUACGAACGAAAAAUCUAUUAAAAAGAAAAACAAAAUUUCAACCAUGAAUGUGCAAAGCAUACCAAAAGCACUGAAAGUUAACAGUUCAUUAAGCAAACUAGAAGAUUUCAAGGACAUGUACAUACAUUUCCGAUGGCAGUGAUACGAAACCUAAGCUCAACACUAACAAGAAAAGAUACAUAUGACUGGAGACACUGAAAAUUAGAUAAGCUUGAAGGGGAGAGGCCAAGGGGUGGACCUG